CCUCUCCCCUUCUUCCCUGCCUUCCCCUCCCCUCCGCCGCCGCCGCCGCCUCCUCCGGCCACCUCCGUUCCCAUCUUCCCCAGCAAUGAGGCCCCGCUCAUCUUCCCCGCUACCCACGCUGCGGGUGGCCACCGCUUCCCCUCCAAGACGCUCGUCCUCGCCAUCGCCGUACCUGUCUUCGCCGUAGCUCUGCUCGGGGUCUCCUGCUCCCUCUUCAGCCUCCUCCGCCGCCGGCGCCAGAAAGGAAAGCCCUCCACGGCGGAGACCCGCCGCCUGUUCCC
Molecule: long non-coding RNA, 281 nt
Filed under: Spirodela polyrhiza (greater duckweed)
Lineage: Eukaryota; Viridiplantae; Streptophyta; Magnoliopsida; Alismatales; Araceae
Description: long non-coding RNA (SPOL_LNC000706)
Source: RNAcentral